AAGGAGACUCUUUCAAUAAUAUACUCAGAAGAAUUCAGCAAUACAAGCUAUACAUGAUACAGAGACGAUAGAUUGCAAGACAUCACAAUAAAAGAAGAAAAGAAUUAUAAUGGAACUGCCAAGCCAGUGAGUGCUACAAAAGUGCCACAAUUUUCAAUCAACGUCCAGCCUAGUAAGAUGACAAACCACACUAGUGACAUUUGAAACCACCACACACAGAUAAAACUAUGAUCAGAAUCAAGGCAAUAAUAAUUCCCAAAACUAUAAGCUUGAUCUUCAUGUUCUGCAACCACAUCUUUCUCCUCAUUGUUGUUCCUUGUGUCCUGAAAUCUUGUGCCUG
RNAcentral lists this unclassified non-coding RNA (340 nucleotides) under Hevea brasiliensis (rubber tree). The record is from RNAcentral. Lineage: Eukaryota; Viridiplantae; Streptophyta; Magnoliopsida; Malpighiales; Euphorbiaceae.